CACUAACUGAUUAGAGGAACUUACUUGAGAGACCAAGUAUGAGUGAACAGACAGUUCAUUAUAUCUGAUCAUCAUCAGAAUAAAAAUAAAAUGGUGGUGUGACAUAAAAGUUACCAUGCAUUAGUGAUCUGAGUAAACAGUUGCUGUUUGAUGUUAGAAAAGCUAGGGCAUGAAGGAUACAUACAUCAAAAUAUAUUCUAAUGAUGGGAGCCUACUUCAAAACUGAAAUGGAUUUGAAAAAUAAUUUGCAUAAUGCAUCUGCCCCGCUGCUCUAAGAGUGUUUAUAUCCCUGUGAGUUUAACACUUCAUGACUGAGAGCUGUCCUUCAUGACAACAGAACCCACAACAACCAUGACUUUUAUCACCAUCUUCAUCUGGACACUUGCUUUCUGCUUUCAAGAAUCCAGAGGACAGAUCACUGUGACUCAGACUCCUGCAGUGGAAACUGUUGUCCCAGAACAGACAGUCUCUCUGAACUGUAAAGCCAGCAGUGAUGUGUAUCAAGCAGGGACCUCUUCUCCCCGUCUAGCCUGGUAUCAACAGAAACCUGGAGAAACUCCUAAAGCACUGGUCUACUAUGGAAGCACCCUCUUCUCUGGGACUCCAUCUAUAUUCAGUGGCAGUGGAUCUGGGAGUGACUUCACUCUGACCAUCAGUGGAGUCCAGGCUGAAGAUGCAGGAGAUUACGACUGUCAGAGUGUACACACUGGUAAUGUGUUCACACAAUGAUACAGAGCCGUACAAAAACCUCCCUCAGUCAGUCUGCAUCGUGAUUAUACUGCUACAGCUGGGACCUACUGUAGGUGCUGAGGGGGAAGAGACAGUGACAUGGAACACUGAUCAGUAAGACUUAUAAAAGUUAAAUGAAGUUUUAAAACACACAAUACCUGUCUCUAUGCAGAGUCAGAUUUACAGAAGUAAACAAUAAAUAAAGGUGGUGUUACAUCAGCUUCAGCCUCCCUAAAUCAAAUCCCCAUAUGUACCUCACAACCAAAUAUAGAUGUGAUCAUCUAGCAUCAUAUUAACUGUUUUGGUGAUCAGGUUACU
Molecule: non-coding RNA, 1047 nt
Organism: Coregonus clupeaformis (lake whitefish)
Lineage: Eukaryota; Metazoa; Chordata; Actinopteri; Salmoniformes; Salmonidae
Source: the annotation of a RefSeq genome assembly